CCGCUGCUUAACACAAGUAAAGUCGCUCUCACCCCCCCACCCCCCCUCUGCAGACUCUAAUGUAGUAACCGCUGCUUCCUGUUGGACCGGUUGCCAUGCCAACACCAUGGAUAAUGCAAGUACAUUGCUGACCGGAGGAGCGGGCGGCUCCAACCCCAGAUGUGUGAUGUGGAAAGUAUGACACAGAGGGAUGUCAUUGGAAACAGGAAAUGCAGCUGACCGGAAGUGCGGGCAGCACCGGCUCCGGGAACGGCGGCGUGUGAGAGGGAGGAUUCACUUCAUGGGGGUAUUUAGCAGGUUUCUUGUCGGGUUCUCAGGAUAAAGUAUCUGGCAGUUUAAAAAAACAUCAGGAUUGCAAUUUGCGAAAAGUCAGGUUUGGACAUACUGUAGGAAUCUCACAGCUAUUUUCUGGAUAAGUCUGCACAUUUGCAAAUUGCCUACAAUCACGCCAUUAAACAUUGAUAUACCCAAA
Pseudophryne corroboree (corroboree frog) is the source of this 472-nucleotide long non-coding RNA. RefSeq lists it as uncharacterized. The record is from RefSeq and is a predicted model, not a curated record. Lineage: Eukaryota; Metazoa; Chordata; Amphibia; Anura; Myobatrachidae. The transcript has 3 exons.